GGCGCCGCCCCGCCGCGCUGGGCACGGGGCUGAGCGCGGCCUGGCGCUCCCGGCGCGCUUUCGGCGCGGAUUGUCGGGGAACGAGGGGCGGGGACGUCCCCGGAUCAAAUUUGCCACCAACUCUGCCACUUUCCUACCAAAACUGGUAGAAAACAUGCUAAAACAGAAAAAUGGAUAAUAAUGGACAAGAAGUAUUUUCUUUUCUGGCUGAACAACUAAAUAUUCUCAUCUUGUUGGAACCAAUCUAUCUUGUGUUACUUCUCUUUCAUCAUUCUUUCAUCACCUUUCUUUAUCGCUGACUAGAAAAAUAUACAUUAACUCCUGGAAAAGCUUACAAAAACCAAAAAGGAUGACCAUCUGAUGUAGUGGGAUUUCCUACAACUUCUGAAGAUCGUCGCUACAUAAGAAAGGAAAUUGAAUGAGGCAAAGCUGAAGUGUGUGCUCACCAGCAUGGGUGGGCCAGUCACCAUGGGCAUUGGCUUUUAGAAGCAACAUGCCCCUUGUUAGGGAGCCCUUCACCUAGGUGAUAUUCAGAGGUCUUGAGAAGAAACUGCUGAAGAAAUACAGCUGAGGUGAGGUGAGGAGAAAGUCAUAAAGAGCUUUAGGAUCGGGAGAGGUUAUUGUUUUGGGCGGGUAAGAAAAUAAACCACAAGUUCAAAAUAAACAAGGCUUUGCCAAGUUUACUGCUAACAGAAUUAAAUGAUUGUUCCCAGGAACUCACCAUAACUCUGUAUGCUGUGACUGCGCACAUAAAAAAAAACUUCUAAAAUAACCCUUUUUGUAUUUAGAGGUCAAGCCUUACCGCUGAUGAGCUUGUGAUGCAACUUAGUAAUUUUUCAUUUCCAACCUGAUAAUUUUCAAACACACACUUCUGAUGUUUUUUCCAAGAAGCACUCUCUUCUCUGAAAAGUCAUUAUAAUCACCUCAUAGCCACCUAAUUAUUUUCUCUGAAAGUCCUCAGGCCUGUUAAACUCUUGAUGAUGGUUGAGUGGUUGCUAUACUGAAACUGCUGUCUUAGAUUGUUUGUGUUUCCUAUUACUUUCUACCUCAUGGCUCCCAGUCCAAGUGUUUCUGUUCAGAGCAUUUCUUUGUUAAGCACAGUGAAAGUCUUAGUCAACACACUUGAGUCUAUAAAACUUAUGGUAAUGCAAGUAAAUAAAUAUGAAUACAUUGCUGUACUAGUUCUGUCCUGAAUGUGAAAAYGUUAGUGGUGUUCCUUCUAAACUGAAGAGUCUGGAAGUUGUUACGACARUGUCUCUAAAACAUGCUCACCACUGCAAAGUUGCCUCAUUAAGCUUAGCACCCAGUUGUUUGUGGAAGGAGAUUGAGAACAGGAUGGAGCUGUACUGGCACAAGGGGCAGCCACAGACUGCAACAAAAGGAGGAAACAAAACUGAGGAAUGGAYUUCAUCUUUUGCUGAUCCCUGUGAUAGCAUUGAAUGAAAAGAGGUAACAAUUUGUGCUUUGUCACAGUGACUCAGCCUUUUGUAAGGCAGGGUGUUAUYCAAGACUGGCCUCAGUGAAAAUGCAGUUGCUCCCACAAGCAUAUUCUUGUCUUAGGAUCACUUGUUAAUGCAUAUUUAUUUAGUAAUUUACUUUCUGGGAACAAUUCCAUUSAUGCCCACUUUCUCAUUAUCAGCAAAGUGUAACUCAUUACCCUGUUUUUCAGAAGGCACAAAUGAGAUAGCAAGUGAGCUAGUUGCUAGCUUAAAGCCAUGGAGUGGGUCAGUGAGUCAUCAGCAGAAUAGUUUGACUGGGAGGCAGGUUUUGUUUGUGUUUCAUUCCAGCAAAAACAAAAGAAUGCUGGCUGGGAGAAAAACUUCAAAACAAACAAACUGGAACAAUCACUCCCAAGCUGAUUUUGACUAGAAUUUGGUUCAGAGUCUGACACUGAACGAUUAUCAGUGAAUUCCAGAUCCUUGUUUCAUCCUCAAAAGCUUUGUUCUCCAUAAA
Long non-coding RNA from Malurus melanocephalus (red-backed fairy wren), 1953 nucleotides. RefSeq lists it as uncharacterized. Lineage: Eukaryota; Metazoa; Chordata; Aves; Passeriformes; Maluridae. The transcript has 4 exons. The record is from RefSeq and is a predicted model, not a curated record.